UGGACAGAUUAUUAUAUUCGACUGUAUUCACGGCGUCAAAUAGGGGAUUACACUGUUUUUAAACGAAAAGUGAAUCAAUUAACAUAAUAGACUCCU
This is a microRNA precursor of Nicotiana attenuata, 96 nucleotides long. It matches the Rfam family "MIR6152 microRNA precursor family". Lineage: Eukaryota; Viridiplantae; Streptophyta; Magnoliopsida; Solanales; Solanaceae. The record is from Rfam.